GUUCUCAAGAGAUCUGACAGUUUUAUAAGGGUCUUUUCCCCUUUUGCUCAGCACUUCUCCUUCCUGCCUGCCACCAUGUGAAGAAGGAUGUGUUUGCUUCCCCUUCCACCAUGACUGUAAGUUUCCUGAGGCCUCCCCAGCCAUGCUGAACGGGCUAAAUGUCAGGUUUACUUGGAAAAAAAAUAAAAGUGGAAGAUGAAAUUAGAAAGAUGGGCCCGUGUAAGAUUGUGAAGAGGCUUGAAUGCUCAGCUCAGGAGUACCGGUUAACAAGUUACAUGGUAUUGUACCUAUGUCACUGGUCCCUGAUCAACACAGCACCAGAGCGCCCUGGGAACAGGGAAACGGUACUCACGGUCAUGGACCUUGUAGCAGUGCGUCUGCAAGCGCUUCACGUCCCAUUCCUCUAGCACGCCAUGGGUCAUCAGCAACUGGAGGAAGCGCCGGUGGACAUCAGUCAUGACGCCCAUUCUCCUUGUGCUGCCCUGCAUGUGGGAACGAACUGAAAAGGAAGUAAAUGACACUAGUCAACCCCAAGCACAUCAGAAGCAACGUCCUGGGUCUUGUA
RNAcentral lists this long non-coding RNA (565 nucleotides) under Homo sapiens (human). RNAcentral describes it as "lncAB218.5". The record is from RNAcentral. Lineage: Eukaryota; Metazoa; Chordata; Mammalia; Primates; Hominidae.